GACUUUUAAUCUGAGGGUCCAGG
RNAcentral lists this non-coding RNA (23 nucleotides) under Gallus gallus (chicken). Lineage: Eukaryota; Metazoa; Chordata; Aves; Galliformes; Phasianidae. RNAcentral also lists the same sequence under 1 other name. The record is from RNAcentral.